This 143-nucleotide transfer RNA is filed under the name Anopheles farauti. RNAcentral describes it as "tRNA tRNA-Tyr". It matches the Rfam family "tRNA". Rfam says of the family: Transfer RNA (tRNA) molecules are approximately 80 nucleotides in length. Their secondary structure includes four short double-helical elements and three loops (D, anti-codon, and T loops). Lineage: Eukaryota; Metazoa; Arthropoda; Insecta; Diptera; Culicidae. The record is from RNAcentral.
CCUUCGAUAGCUCAGUUGGUAGAGCGGUGGACUGUAGCGAAAGUGGCGAUCGAGCAGUGGUGGAAACUUCACCCCCAGUUAGUGAUCGUCACGUGGUAGUAGUAGUAAUCCAUAGGUCACUGGUUCAAAUCCGGUUCGAAGGA